GACGAACGCUGGCGGCGUGCUUAACACAUGCAAGUCGAACGCUGAAGCUCAGCUUUUGUUGGGUGGAUGAGUGGCGAACGGGUGAGUAACACGUGAGUAACCUGCCCCCUUCUUUGGGAUAACGCCCGGAAACGGGUGCUAAUACUGGAUAUUCACUGGUCUUCGCAUGGGGGUUGGUGGAAAGGGUUUUUCUGGUGGGGGAUGGGCUCGCGGCCUAUCAGCUUGUUGGUGGGGUGAUGGCCUACCAAGGCUUUGACGGGUAGCCGGCCUGAGAGGGUGACCGGGCACAUUGGGACUGAGAUACGGCCCAGACUACGACGGGAGGCAGCAGUGGGGAAUAAUGCACAAUGGGCGCAAGCCUGAUGCAGCGACGCCGCGUGAGGGAUGGAGGCCUUCGGGUUGUGAACCUCUUUCGCUCAUGGUCAAGCCGCAACAAUGGUUGUGGUGAGGGUAGUGGGUAAAGAAGCGCCGGCUAACUACGUG
RNAcentral lists this ribosomal RNA (483 nucleotides) under uncultured bacterium. RNAcentral's name for it is "partial 16S ribosomal RNA". It matches the Rfam family "Bacterial small subunit ribosomal RNA", at positions 28 to 507 of the family's 1533-position model. The record is from RNAcentral.